Non-coding RNA from Vicugna pacos (alpaca), 2811 nucleotides. NCBI's taxonomy places the organism in Eukaryota, Metazoa, Chordata, Mammalia, Artiodactyla, Camelidae. The record is from RefSeq and is a predicted model, not a curated record.
UCUCCGUGCGAGAAGGCAUCUUGCAGACAGAUGUCAAGCAUGAAAGAGGGGCUAAUUUUUGGUCUUGGUUUGAUCAUUUUUGUCAUCUGCUUGGCUUCCUAGCCCUCAGAAUGGCCACCCUGGACCUGAAUGAAGGAGUCCUCCUGGAUCAGCAGCCUAAGGUUCAAUCUGCAGUUGAGGAGCCAGCAGACUCGCAUUGGAUGCGCUUGAUAUGAUUUAAACAUCUUCCCUGGUCAUGACCUCUGGCUGCAUCUGUGUGUGCAAAUAUGGAGACCAUAAUGGACGCAAGCUGACUUAAGCCGCAUACCGUGGCGGCAAACUCUGUGAGUCAGGAGCACAGGGACCAAUAAUUGUCCCAUUGGGCUGAUCUAAGCUUUCCCCUGUGGCUGCCUCUGUGUUAAGAGCUUGGAGAGCAAUGUACAACUUUGACAUCUGAUUUAUUAAGAAAAAAUAAAUAUUACCCGAAAUUAAUAAAUGACUAUGUAAGUGAACGGUGCAAGCUUUCAGUCAGUGGAGAGGCAGCCUCAACACCUCUGUCCCGUUGUCUGCAUGGUAUGCUUCCGGACCGACGCUGGAGCUGGUUGCAGCUUCUGUUGUCAUCCAGAGUGUCCUGCUGCCUCCUGGUGUGGGAGGAGACCAAGAUGCACUGGUGUUGAUUUUAGCAUCUUCAGUGGUCGAGAGGCCUGUGGUUGCCUGUAUAUAAUAGGAAAACAGAGAUUAAUAAUGGACACACAAGAGCUUGUGUAAGGAUUCUUUGAAGGUCAAAAGCUGUAUGGUUGCAUCUUUGUAUUAAGAGUAUGGAGAACAAUAAUGGAAGCACUUGGGCUGAUUCAGCAUUCCUCCCUGCUCAGGAGCUCUCUGGUUGCGUCUAUGUGUUAGGGGUGUGAAGUCCAAUACUGACUCCUCGUUGCUGAAGGUGGUGGCUGGGGAGUCUCUGGGCAAGAAGCCUGCAGGCUUACGUCAGUGGUGCACACAGUUCUCUUCCCUAGAACGGAUGUGAGCGUAAUCGUUCUGUGAUGGUCGAGACCUGUGUGGCUCAAUCAUCUCUGCAUCCCACAGGAUGGUUGCAUGGUAGUUACUGAAAUUGUUCUCCAGUCGUGAAGAUCUUGGUCUUAUCUCUAUGGGGAAGGAACGAAUCCUGCCAUGUGAGUAAUAAUGUUCUUGGUUCGGGUGGUUCACUCAUGGGCUUCCAUUAUAUCAUUAUAAAAAUAAUAAAUGUAAUUAAAAAUUUAAAUGCCGUGCAUUGACCUAUGAUAAGCAUGUGUUAUGAACCAAGUUGAUGAGUAAUGCAGUUUAGCACACAUGAGGUACACGAAGAAAAAGACACCUAACUUCCUCUAUUCAUUUCCAAACUUAAAUGUCCCAUUUUAUGUUUUUCCCAUUGAUUAUUUACACAUCUCUCUCUUAAAUAACUCCUAAGCUGUUACUCAUUUAGGGAGUCAGUAUUCCGGCUGUUGAGUAGGAUGGUGGGUUCAUGGUUGUUAAUUGCAACAUCUAAACAGUGUUCAAAUUAAAUGCAGAAGGGCCACACCUGGACCAAUGAUGUAAAUGGAAUGCAUCUGAAUAAAAAUUAUGAUCAAUCAUUUUUUGAACCACUGAGGUCCAUGGCAAAAGGAGAAUUAGUGCAUGACUUUUUGGGGAAUGAUCUCAGGAAAGUUUGAGGAUUGACAGGUUCAUGGAUAUUGAUUUUACAUUAUUAGUGAACAAACAAACAAACAUCCAAAAGAAAAGAAAGAGAGGCCCAAACACGGACCGGUUUUGAGGAUGUGUUCUAGAAUGAGGAAUUACUUCAAUUCUGAAAUACCUUGGUCCAUUAAGAAAACACGUACAUAAAAUUGUUCCCACUUUGUGUAAGUAGUAGCUAGAGAGAGGUAUUUAACAGUCAAUGUCUGCUCUUAGCUGAAAGGAGUUACUAGAUGCUUGAUUCAUGAAGAAAAAAAAAUUAGGAUUAACUAAAUGUUUAACUAAAUGAAUGAGUGCAAGAUAUGAACCAGUGAUGAGUGUAUUUUAUUCUUUUUUACAUCUGUUUGGUACCCUGGAAUGCCGUACCUUGGUUGGUUCAAUCAUUAAUGAUGAAGGUCUUGACUGUUAACUAUAUGGUCGAGGAGAGUACAGAUCAGGGUAAGUUUUUAUUCUUGGUUUGGUCCUUUUGUUUAUGGAUGAUGACUAUAUUAUUUAAAAAGAACAGAUGGCUAAAUGCAAUAAUAAAUUAAAGAAGAUUAUGCAAGGACCAAUGGUAAGAAUUUGAUAGGGAUUGUGGUAAAUUCAUUUUGCAAAACUGAGAAAAGAUAGAUUUCCAUUAAAAAAAAUUAAACAAGAAUUUAGUCAGGUUACCUAUUUUUACCAUUCUGUUUAAGAAAUAUGUAGAGAGGCUUAAUAAUUAAAGUUUUCCCUCUUGUUUGGAAGUUGAUUCUUUGCUAUUGACUUUCUUUUUGAAAAUGAGUACCUGACUAAAUUAAUAACUCAGGAAAAAUCAGUUUAUAAAGAAGAUUAAAAUGAUCAAGAGAAUUCCAGCGAUAAAAUUUUAUGAAAUGAGAACUGUGAUCACCCCAAUUUUGCCUGUCUGAGAUCCAUUUAACCAAAAAAGAUUUAUUAAUCUGUUACUUCUGUGUAUAAUGAAGACAGACAUAGAUGUGAGAAUAUUCAUCGUUUUUGUUCUUUUAUUUUGGUGGGUUCAUGGGUGUUAAUUAUUAUUAUAAGUAUUGUAGUUUAAUAAACCAAUCUGUGGGAAAUUAAAUCAGAAGAGAUCAAAUCAUGGACCAGUGAUGAAAAUGUGUUUUGAAACAAUGGUUAUAAUUAUUACAAUUCUGU